RNAcentral lists this ribosomal RNA (785 nucleotides) under Golovinomyces ambrosiae. Its description in RNAcentral is "partial large subunit ribosomal RNA". It matches the Rfam family "Eukaryotic large subunit ribosomal RNA", at positions 156 to 938 of the family's 3401-position model. Lineage: Eukaryota; Fungi; Ascomycota; Leotiomycetes; Helotiales; Erysiphaceae. The record is from RNAcentral.
UAGGAUGCUUUUGGGAGGUAGGGCCCGGCCUCAAGUGUCCCUUGGAACACGGAGAUUUCCAGAGGGGUGAGAAAUCCCCGUAUGUGGGGUGUGGCCUACGUUCCGUGUGAAAGCUCUUUCGACGAGUCGAGAUUGUUUUGGGAAUGCAGCUCUAAAAUGGGUGGUAAAUAUCAUCUAAAGGCUUAAUAUUGGCCAGAGACCGAUAGCGCGCACAGUAGAGUGAUCGAAAGAUGAAAAGCACUUUGGAAAGAGAGUUAAACAGUACGUGAAAUUGUUGAAAGGGAAGCGCUUGCAACCCGACUUGGGCGUCAUCGAUCAUCCGGGGUUCUCCUCGGUGCCCUUGACGAGGCACAGGCCAGCAUCCGUUUGGAUGGUUGGAGAAAGGCCCUAGGAACGUAGCUCUCUUCGGGGAGUGUUAUAGCCUAGAGCGCAAUGCAGCCCAUCCGGACCGAGGACCGCGCCUUCGGCUAGGAUGCUGGCGUAAUGGUUGCAAGCGACCCGUCUUGAAACACGGACCAAGGAGUCUAACAUCUAUGCGAGUGUUUGGGCGUUAAACCCAUACGCGGAAUGAAAGUGAACGUAGGUGAGAACCCGUCAGGGUGCAUCAUCGACCGAUCCUGAUGUCUUCGGAUGGAUUUGAGUACGAGCAUAGCUGUUGGGACCCGAAAGAUGGUGAACUAUGCCUGAAUAGGGUGAAGCCAGAGGAAACUCUGGUGGAGGCUCGCAGCGGUUCUGACGUGCAAAUCGAUCGUCAAAUUUGGGUAUAGGGGCGAAAGACUAAUCGA